UUAUACCGUGAAACUGCGAAUGGCUCAUUAAAUCAGUUAUCGUUUAUUUGAUAGUACCUUACUACUUGGAUAACCGUGGUAAUUCUAGAGCUAAUACAUGCUAAAAACCCCGACUUCUGAAGGGGUGUAUUUAUUAGAUAAAAAACCAACGCCCUUUCGGGGCUUCUUGGUGAUUCAUGAUAACUUUACGGAUCGCAUGGCCUUGCGCCGGCGACGGUUCAUUCAAAUUUCUGCCCUAUCAACUUUCGAUGGUAAGGUAUUGGCUUACCAUGGUUUCAACGGGUAACGGGGAAUUAGGGUUCGAUUCCGGAGAGGGAGCCUGAGAAACGGCUACCACAUCCAAGGAAGGCAGCAGGCGCGCAAAUUACCCAAUCCCGACACGGGGAGGUAGUGACAAUAAAUACUGAUACAGGGCUCUUUUGGGUCUUGUAAUUGGAAUGAGUACAAUUUAAACCUCUUAACGAGGAACAAUUGGAGGGCAAGUCUGGUGCCAGCAGCCGCGGUAAUUCCAGCUCCAAUAGCGUAUAUUAAAGUUGUUGCAGUUAAAAAGCUCGUAGUUGAACCUUGGGUCUGGCUGGCAGGUCCGCCUCACCGCGUGUACUUGUCCGGCCGGGCCUUCCUUCUGGAGAACCUCAUGCCCUUCACUGGGCGUGUUGGGGACCAGGACUUUUACUUUGAAAAAAUUAGAGUGUUCAAAGCAGGCCUUUGCUCGAAUACGUUAGCAUGGAAUAAUAGAAUAGGACGUGCGGUCCUAUUUUGUUGGUUUCUAGGACCGCCGUAAUGAUUAAUAGGGACAGUCGGGGGCAUCAGUAUUCAAUUGUCAGAGGUGAAAUUCUUGGAUUUAUUGAAGACUAACUACUGCGAAAGCAUUUGCCAAGGAUGUUUUCAUUAAUCAGUGAACGAAAGUUAGGGGAUCGAAGACGAUCAGAUACCGUCGUAGUCUUAACCGUAAACUAUGCCGACUAGGGAUCGGGCGAUGUUCUUUUUUCUGACUCGCUCGGCACCUUACGAGAAAUCAAAGUUUUUGGG
This 1029-nucleotide ribosomal RNA is filed under the name Phaeosphaeria fusispora. RNAcentral's name for it is "SSU rRNA". It matches the Rfam family "Eukaryotic small subunit ribosomal RNA", at positions 74 to 1111 of the family's 1831-position model. Lineage: Eukaryota; Fungi; Ascomycota; Dothideomycetes; Pleosporales; Phaeosphaeriaceae. The record is from RNAcentral.